GGGCCCAUAGCUCAGCUGGUGCUGCAAAAGAAAGCCUUUGAGCCUUCUGUUGCUGCAGCAAAGAGCACUCGACUCUUAAUCGAGUGGUCAGGGGUUCGAGUCCCCUUGGGCUCA
This 114-nucleotide transfer RNA is filed under the name Candidatus Woesearchaeota archaeon. RNAcentral's name for it is "tRNA-Lys". It matches the Rfam family "tRNA". From Rfam's summary of the family: Transfer RNA (tRNA) molecules are approximately 80 nucleotides in length. Their secondary structure includes four short double-helical elements and three loops (D, anti-codon, and T loops). Lineage: Archaea; Nanobdellati; Candidatus Woesearchaeota. The record is from RNAcentral.